Molecule: small RNA, 371 nt
Filed under: Cladophialophora immunda
Lineage: Eukaryota; Fungi; Ascomycota; Eurotiomycetes; Chaetothyriales; Herpotrichiellaceae
Description: Cladophialophora sp. HB-2008 A. fumigatus sRNA Afu_309
Rfam family: A. fumigatus sRNA Afu_309
Source: Rfam by way of RNAcentral
UUCUUUCCCUCAUCCAAAGUUCUGUGUCUCAAACGCUCCCUUCCUAUCCAUCGCGGUAGUGUAAGGUCGAGCGUCUGUGGCGUUCUCGACUACUCUUGCGGAGCCAUUAACAGCACCCCCAUUAAUGUCUAUUUCCCAGUCGACAGAACUGAGAGCAACCGCCGAAUCCUUUGCCUCACGGCCGGUCCACCUGAGCUCGGUUCUUGGGACGAUGACCCUUGAGAUCCUCGCGAUCUCGGGUUUUCCGAACGGGGACUUUGUCAGCUCGGUGGGCUGAGGUAGUAGGGGAGACGUCUUAUUCCCAAGCUUGGUGUAUUUGAGCCUCGUCGAGGCAUGAUCAUUGGGCAAAACCAAGACUAUUGUCUACAUUC